GGGGAGCAAACAGGAUUAGAUUCCCUGCUAGUCCUAGCUGUAACCGAUGGAUCCUAGACGUAGGAAACGGAUCGCCGCUGUAUGUGUCGUAGGUCACGCGCCAACUAUCCCGCCGGGGGAGUACGCUCUCAAGAGUAUACCUCAAAGGAACAGGCGGGCCCCCGCACAAGCGGCGGAGCAUGCGCAUUAAUUCGAUGAUACAUCGUAGAACCUUUCCUGGGCUUGACAUAUAGGGUCUAGCUAUAGAGAUAUAGUGUGCAUUAGCGCCGUCUACACGUGGAGCAUGGCGGUUGUCACCUCGAGUCGUGAGAUUUUGGGCUCAGUCUCGCAUCGUGCGCUACGCCCAUGAUAUCUGGGCAGCAUUUUGCUGUUGGCUCAUAGGAGUCUCCUGCUGAUAAGUCGGAGGAAGGUGGGGAGGGCGUCAAGUCCUCAGGUGCUUUAUGUGCAGUGUUGCCAUCUUGCUACAACGGCAAGAACACCGUGUCGCAAUACCGCGAGGUGGUGCAACUGUUUUCAAGCUUGCAUCAGAUCUGAUAGGCGUGUGCUACUCGCCUCCUUGCAGUUGGAGUCGCUGGUAAUCUCAAAUCAACAAAUCUGCGGAGAAUUCGUUCUUGGGGUU
Molecule: ribosomal RNA, 619 nt
Filed under: uncultured bacterium
Lineage: Bacteria
Description: SSU rRNA
Rfam family: Bacterial small subunit ribosomal RNA
Source: RNAcentral